UUAAGGUAGAGACCGAUAGCAACCACGUGAUCAGUAAAAAUCGUGUAUUUUCACGUGAAAUUAUUUUUCGGAAUUCCGUACAUCGCCAUAGAGUAGUUGAAAAACAAAAAGGGGUUCCGAAAGUACAAGUUGCUGUGACUGAAUCGAUGAUUGAGAGGGUCGUCUCGACGAAAGAUAUAGAAAUUUGGCCAUAGUUUAGAUUAGGAAUACGUCAAUGUAAUAAUAGUGGACUAAAUGUUUCGUCCGUGCAGAAUGGCACUUUUUACCUCACGAAAUUCACCACCAUGCAUAGCUGCGCUACGUAAACAAAGUUGUUGAUGUAGCGUGAUCGUGGUGUCCGAGUGCUGCGAGUUUCAAUACUGUUUAUGUAGUCAUUGAGAGUUUAAACAAAGUUUCUUCUGAGAAGAGGAAUUCGAUGGAUGCAUUCAACGUGGACAACGAAAUCAUAAUUUCGUUUGCAUCAUCCUAAGGACAAGUGCAAGUUGAAAUGGGCUUCCAGCCAACAACUUCAACAGCAAUUUGCCAUGAAAAUCAGCAAGAAAGGUACUUCAUUUACAUUGAUGAUGUCAUAUCCCCUGGACCCCACAACUUCACAGGUUACAGAGAAAAUUCAAGAACUUCUGCAAAAUGUGGGACUUGGAUAGAAUCAAUAAUGUAUUUGUGAGCCCAGAGCAAUGGAUAUAUUGUGCAACAUACUAAAGUGUGAAUUUAAUGGAAAACAAGUACAUGUACUCAUGUAUUACAUGUCUUUUUUAAAGACAAUAAUAUUGUAUAAAUAUAGAGGAAGUGUCAUUGUUGAUUAUUCUAAGUUUUUGAUAUAUCAA
Molecule: long non-coding RNA, 824 nt
Organism: Ostrea edulis (European flat oyster)
Lineage: Eukaryota; Metazoa; Mollusca; Bivalvia; Ostreida; Ostreidae
Exons: 3
Source: RefSeq, a predicted model, not a curated record